RNAcentral lists this ribosomal RNA (477 nucleotides) under uncultured organism. RNAcentral's name for it is "partial 16S ribosomal RNA". It matches the Rfam family "Bacterial small subunit ribosomal RNA", at positions 333 to 801 of the family's 1533-position model. The record is from RNAcentral.
UCACUCCUACGGGAGGCAGCAGUGGGGAAUAUUGCACAAUGGGCGCAAGCCUGAUGCAGCCAUGCCGCGUGUAUGAAGAAGGCCUUCGGGUUGUAAAGUACUUUCAGCGGGGAGGAAGGCAAUACGGUUAAUAACCGUGUUGAUUGACGUUACCCGCAGAAGAAGCACCGGCUAACUCCGUGCCAGCAGCCGCGGUAAUACGGAGGGUGCAAGAGUUAAUCGGAAUUACUGGGCGUAAAGCGCACGCAGGCGGUCUGUCAAGUCGGAUGUGAAAUCCCCGGGCUCAACCUGGGAACUGCAUUCGAAACUGGCAGGCUUGAGUCUUGUAGAGGGGGGUAGAAUUCCAGGUGUAGCGGUGAAAUGCGUAGAGAUCUGGAGGAAUACCGGUGGCGAAGGCGGCCCCCUGGACAAAGACUGACGCUCAGGUGCGAAAGCGUGGGGAGCAAACAGGAUUAGAUACCCGUGUAGUCCCAUGAU